CAACCAGGUUCUUAUGGAAAUUGCAUGCACCAGGUCUUCGAAGCAAUUGCUCGAAGCAAGGCAGGCUUAUCAUGCUCGUUUUAAGAAGUCCCUUGAAGAGGAUGUUGGUUAUCACACCAAUGGGGACUUCCGCAAGCUUUUGCUACCCCUUGUGACUGCCUACCGAUAUGAGGGUGAUGAGGUGAACAUUACACUUGCAAAAUCAGAAGCUAAGAUUCUCAAUGAGAAGAUUUCUGAUAAGGCUUACAAUGAUGAAGAUCUCAUCAGGAUCUUGGCUACAAGGAGCAAAGCACAGAUCAAUGCGACUCUGAAUCAAUAUAAGAAUGUAUAUGGGAAUGAUAUUGAUCAGGACUAAGAGGCUGACCCUAAAGAUGAGUACCUCGACCUACUGAGGGCCACAGUUCAGUGCUUAGUCCACCCUGAACAUUAUUUUGAGAAGAUACUUCAUCUGGCAAUUAACAAACAGGGAACAGAUGAAGGGGCUCUUACUAGAGUCGUCACCACAUGGGCCGAGGUCGACUUGAAGGUCAUAAAAGAUGAGUACCAGAGGAACGGUGUUCCUCUGGAUCGUGCCGUUGUCAAGGACACCUCUGGGGACUACGAAAAAAUGCUUCUGGCACUGUUAGGACAUGGGGAUGCUUGAGUUGUUCCCUAUUUCUUGAAGGAUUGAGAGACAAAUAUGUGUUUUAUUUAUCUAGGUUUGCUGUUGCUUGAGUUUGCAGAGUUCUCCAUCCAUGUUUGAUGAUCGUUUUAUUUUCCGUCUUUUGGUUAUGCCGGUUGAAAAACUUAAUCUAUGAGCGCUUCAGUUAUCUCAUAUAUAUUCAAAAUAAUAUCUGAUUUAUAUAUGCAUCUAAAUGGUGGUUGGUUUGUGAUUAGCAACUUGAUGCUUGAGUGUGUGAUGAUCUAAUUCUAAUGCCCCUGAAGCAGAUGAUGUUGCAAUGUAACAACUUAUAUGGGUAGAAACUUUUGGUUUUGAUAGAAAUAAAAAUUUUUCUUUUGCUUCAUUGUUUUGAGUCUCAUGUGCUAAUAAUGCUUGAUUCAAUUGAUUGGAAAACAAAUUUUGUGACCAGAGUAAUGCCAGUACUGCUUGAAACUAGUUCUGAGUCACAAUGAAAGAUACUUUGGUUGGUGGGUGAAAACUGGAUGUGGAAAGGCAGUAUGUGAAAGAGAUCAGUUACUUAUAAUGAUUUAGUAGCUUACUAUAUGAAAGUCUAACUUGGAAUUCUGGAAUUGCCCUCUUUUUUUUUAUUUGUCAGAGGAUUCUUGUAGUCUUACGUAGUUUUCUCAUUUUAUCUCAUUUGUCUUUCUGCAUUACAUGUUCAAUGAAGUCAUCAUUUUUUAAGCAUUGUGAUUGACUGACUUCAUUGUAUAUUCAUGUACACUAGCUUUUGCUACCCCUUGUGACUGCCUACCGAUAUGAGGGUGAUGAGGUGAACAUUACACUUGCAAAAUCAGAAGCUAAGAUUCUCCAUGAGAAGAUUUCUAAUAAGGCUUACAAUGAUGAGGAUCUCAUCAGGAUCUUGGCUACAAGGAGCAAAGCACAGAUCAAUGCGACUCUGAAUCAAUACAAGAAUGUAUAUGGGAAUGAU
RNAcentral lists this long non-coding RNA (1589 nucleotides) under Citrus sinensis (sweet orange). RNAcentral describes it as "long non-coding RNA (CSIN_LNC001438)". The record is from RNAcentral. Lineage: Eukaryota; Viridiplantae; Streptophyta; Magnoliopsida; Sapindales; Rutaceae.